CUUGGUCAUUUAGAGGNAGUAAAAGUCGUAACAAGGUUUCCGUAGGUGAACCUGCGGAAGGAUCAUUAUUGAAAUAAACCUGAUGGGUUGUUGCUGGUUCUCUAGAGAGCAUGUGCACGCCUUGUCAUCUUUAUAUCUCCACCUGUGCACCUUUUGUAGGCCUUCCAGGUCUAUGUUGCUUUUUCAUUUACCCCAAUGUAUGUUAAUAGAAUGUUGUGCAUAUAAAAAUCUAUACAACUUUCAGCAACGGAUCUCUUGGCUCUCGCAUCGAUGAAGAACGCAGCGAAAUGCGAUAAGUAAUGUGAAUUGCAGAAUUCAGUGAAUCAUCGAAUCUUUGAACGCACCUUGCGCUCCUUGGUAUUCCGAGGAGCAUGCCUGUUUGAGUGUCAUUAAUAUAUAUCAAUCUUCUCAUUUAUGAGUGGUUUGGAUGUGGGGGUUUGCUGGCCUCUUAAAUGGGUUCAGCUCCUCUGAAAUGCAUUAGCAGAACAACCUUGUUCAUUGGCGUGAUAACUAUCUACGCUAUUGAAUGUGAGGGAUGGUUCAGCUUUCUAACAGUCCUUGGACAACUUAUCAUUUAUGUGACCUCAAAUCAGGUAGGACUACCCGCUGAACUUAAGCAUAUCAAUAAGCGGANGA
RNAcentral lists this ribosomal RNA (636 nucleotides) under uncultured fungus. RNAcentral's name for it is "eukaryotic LSU rRNA". The stretch from base 236 to 389 matches the Rfam family "5.8S ribosomal RNA". Lineage: Eukaryota; Fungi. The record is from RNAcentral.